UAAUUGAAGAGUUUGAUCAUGGCUCAGAUUGAACGCUGGCGGCAGGCCUAACACAUGCAAGUCGGGCGGCAGCGGGGGAAAGCGUGCUU
RNAcentral lists this ribosomal RNA (89 nucleotides) under Xenorhabdus sp. BG5. Its description in RNAcentral is "partial 16S ribosomal RNA". It matches the Rfam family "Bacterial small subunit ribosomal RNA", at positions 1 to 90 of the family's 1533-position model. Lineage: Bacteria; Pseudomonadati; Pseudomonadota; Gammaproteobacteria; Enterobacterales; Morganellaceae. The record is from RNAcentral.